UAUAGCGCAGCCACAACACGUGGGUGAUAGACGCGAUUGGCGGGGGACAUGUACACACGCGGAUCACAAGCAGGAUACGCCGCCUGGAAGGACUCCUGGUUUGGACUAUAUCAUGGAUGUGAUCCUUUCAAGAUGCACCUCAAAGAAGAAAGCUGUGCGGUGGGAAUGAGGUGAUGUCAUGGCAAGCCCACCAGCAGCAGAUGGAUGAAGAUCCACCUGACAUCAGGACAGUUGGUGGCUGAUAUUCAUGGGGACUGGUCACAGUGGCUGGACCAUGCAGGUAACACGGGUACAGCUGCACUUACCCGGGUAAACAGAGUAACGUGAGUCAUCUGUGUCCUGGGUGGUCGUCCUGUUUGAUUGAUCAGAUGCAAACGUUCACCUUCUGAUGGAGCGCAGGUGCAGUGGUGAUUUGUUUUGAUCAGAGAUCCAUGACAAUGCAUAUCCCGGGAGCAUAUAAUUUUGUGAUAAAAGUACAUAAUUGUCUGAAGGCUGGACCUGACAUUAUUCCGGACAUUGUAACAACAUGACUCAAUGACAGAGUACAGAAAUGCUAUCCGAAUCUGCAGCUGCUACUUAACAUAUGCUAACAUUCCCCCCACACCAGGACACCUGGAUAGUUCUUGGAACAGGUACAUACCCAUCUCCCGGGACUCAUGGAUAGUUCUUGGAACAGGUACAUACCCAUCACCCAGGACACAUGGAUAGUUCUUGGAACAGGUACAUCCCCAUCACCCAGGACACAUGGAUAGUUCUUGGAACAGGUAAAUACCCAUCACCCAGGACACAUGGAUAGUUCUUGGAACAGGUACAUCCCCAUCACCCAGGACACAUGGAUAGUUCUUGGAACAGGUACAUACCCAUCACCCAGGGCACCUGGAUAGUUCUUGGAACAGGUACAUACCCAUCUCCCGGGACACAUGGAUAGUUCUUGGAACAGGCAUAUAUUCAUCAACCAGGACACCUGGAUAGUUCUUGGAAAAGGUACAUACCUAUCACCCAGGACACAUGGAUAGUUCUUGGAACAGGUACAUACCCAUCACCCAGGGCACCUGGAUAGUUCUUGGAACAGGUACAUACCCAUCCCACAGGAUCACUGGAUGGUUCUUGGAACAGGUACAUGCCAAUCACCCAGAACACUUGGAUGAAUACUGUAACAGGUACAUGCCCAUCACCCAUGACACCUGAGUGGAUACUGUAACAGGUACACACUCAAUAACAUGACAUUGAACCUUUAGCCAUUCACCAUGAAUGCGUUCGAUGGCCAAGCAUGGGUAUACAUCAAACAUUUCCAGCAAAGUUACUGAUGCAUAGUGAAUGUUCAGAUAUUUAUAGUCAUUUAUGACUGGGUUUAACUUCCAUGUUAAACGACAGUGUCUGACUGAUUCUGAUAUUGCAUAAUGUUUUCUAGUUGUUUCUAAUGAUUAAUAUUACUUUAUAGUCAAGGAAUGUCAAAAUAUAAGCUUUAGGAAGGGACCAGUGGCAUCCUCGGGGGAGGAGAGUUGAGCCAGUACUAUUUGUGAUUACUGAAUUAUGCUGAAAAUAUGUUGUUUAACUGAUAUUGCCGUGUUGGUGGGAACAUAAAUAACUUUGAUAUUUUACAAAGUAAGGGCGGAACACAAGAACAAGGCUGUUGUUUAUUUAGUCAAGAGGCCUAAAACAAUUUACUGCCGAUGUCAGAUCGGUUCUGCUUUGUCCUUCCUCCACCCUCUACUGUACACUUUGGCCGUGACCUUGAGAUUUCAACCUUGAACUUUUAAAACUUGCCAUGGUGUGAAUGACAAUCAUACAAUUAUAUUUAGUUAAACUAAAGUCGAGUCUGCUAUA
Haliotis rubra (blacklip abalone) is the source of this 1827-nucleotide long non-coding RNA. RefSeq lists it as uncharacterized. The record is from RefSeq and is a predicted model, not a curated record. The transcript has 3 exons. Lineage: Eukaryota; Metazoa; Mollusca; Gastropoda; Lepetellida; Haliotidae.